Molecule: ribosomal RNA, 411 nt
Filed under: Triticum aestivum (bread wheat)
Lineage: Eukaryota; Viridiplantae; Streptophyta; Magnoliopsida; Poales; Poaceae
Description: partial small subunit ribosomal RNA
Source: RNAcentral
AUGGCCAUCGAUGUCCUCAACUCUCUGCUGCUUCACGCCCAUCAGCGAGGCCAGCUUCAGCGCCUUACCACCCGCCACGCCGCCUCGAGCAUAUCCCUCUUCGCCGAUGACGUGGUCAUUUUCUGCCACCCUUCCAUCCACGACCCGCGCGUCAUCCGUGAGCUGUUGCGUGUCUUUGAAGUGGCUUCCGGGCUCCGCACCAACUUCGCUAAAUGCUCGGCCACGCCCAUCCGUUGCGGUGAUGCGGAGCUCGCGUGAAUCAACGCCGAACUUGCAUGCGCUGUCCUCGAGUUUCCUAUCACCUACCUGGGCAUUCCACUGUCAGUACGGAAACCCUCCGCCUCCUCCCUGCAGCCUAUCGUUGAGAGGCUCACGAGGAAGUUGCCCACGUGGCGUGCUGCCCUCCUCUCC